UACGGAGGGUGCGAGCGUUGUCCGGAAUCAUUGGGCGUAAAGCGCGCGUAGGCGGCUCGGAAAGUCGGGCGUGAAAUGCCGGGGCUCAACCCCGGGACUGCGUCCGAUACUUCCGAGCUGGAGGUAGGUAGGGGAGAUCGGAAUUCCUGGUGUAGCGGUGAAAUGCGCAGAUAUCAGGAGGAACACCGGUGGCGAAGGCGGAUCUCUGGGCCGUACCUGACGCUGAGGCGCGAAAGCUAGGGGAGCGAACAGG
This 253-nucleotide ribosomal RNA is filed under the name uncultured bacterium. RNAcentral's name for it is "partial 16S ribosomal RNA". It matches the Rfam family "Bacterial small subunit ribosomal RNA", at positions 524 to 776 of the family's 1533-position model. The record is from RNAcentral.